RNAcentral lists this microRNA precursor (80 nucleotides) under Fasciola hepatica (liver fluke). Its description in RNAcentral is "microRNA fhe-mir-11586 precursor". The record is from miRBase by way of RNAcentral. Lineage: Eukaryota; Metazoa; Platyhelminthes; Trematoda; Plagiorchiida; Fasciolidae.
UGACUGCUAUCGUAGGGCUGUCUCUUCCGCGAGGGAAAUUCUUUCUCAGACCAGUGGUUGUAAGACGAUCGUAGUUGACG